AUACACAGAAAGCCUGGGCAAGGGAAGUUUUCCAGGAUGAAACAUGGGAAGCUCCUGCUGAUGAGCCUGUAGGACCUUACAGUUCUUUGUGUGUCUGCUUGAAAUGGCUGCACAGGAGCUGUUCACCUGAUUGCUAGGGAUGACGUCAGGAAGGAAUUCUUCCCCUCCAUCUGAUCACAAAGGCUGAUUCUUUCAUCUUCUGUGAUUCGAGGCUUGGAUUCCCUCCUGGAUGUGUCCGCAAUCACACUCUCUGCUGUUGUUAGGACCUGAUACGUCGGCAUGGCUCUCGCUCUCUCCUCAUCAGUUUACUUUCUAACAUCCUGAAAGCUUCAUCAUGACUGCUCAGUGCACCUCACCCUGGGCUGAGAUUAAAAGUUAAAAAAGAGAAAGAGUGAACACAACGGGAGAGAAAACAGAAGAGAUUUUGGCAGCAACCUGGUGACACACUGAAAGGCCUUUGGGGUAACAGAGAACAGCAAGCAACUUGUGAUCCACAAAGGAGAAUGGCAGCAAAAGCAACAGGAUUGAACUUCUGCCAAUAGUGGUGAUGAAUAAAUGUGAUGUCCUUUUGACAGCUCAGACUGGAGCUGGAAUUUUCUCUGCUCCCAUCCUGGUUGAACUCUCUCCUGAGAAAGUCAGUCUGUCUGUAUGGAAGGAGCAAGACAAACGCUUGGACAUGAGUCCCAGCUUUGCAGCUGCAGAAUGUCACCAUGAAUGUCCAUUGGCAAACUGGAUAAGAAAGAGUGUCACACUGCAGGACAACCUAGAAGAUGACAGGUCUGUGAGAAUACACACCCAAUGCAGAGGACCUACUCAUUUUUUCAUGGAUACCAAGGAGAGUCAGAUACAUGGAUACCAAAGAGGAGUCACUGAUACCAAAGGUGAGUUCAGGGAGAGUUGA
This is a long non-coding RNA of Phasianus colchicus (ring-necked pheasant), 901 nucleotides long. The record is from Ensembl. Lineage: Eukaryota; Metazoa; Chordata; Aves; Galliformes; Phasianidae.